This 450-nucleotide ribosomal RNA is filed under the name uncultured bacterium. Its description in RNAcentral is "partial 16S ribosomal RNA". It matches the Rfam family "Bacterial small subunit ribosomal RNA", at positions 354 to 796 of the family's 1533-position model. The record is from RNAcentral.
GUGGGGAAUAUUGGACAAUGGGCGAAAGCCUGAUCCAGCCAUGCCGCGUGUGUGAAGAAGGUCUUCGGAUUGUAAAGCACUUUAAGUUGGGAGGAAGGGCAGUAAGUUAAUACCUUGCUGUUUUGACGUUACCGACAGAAUAAGCACCGGCUAACUUCGUGCCAGCAGCCGCGGUAAUACGAAGGGUGCAAGCGUUAAUCGGAAUUACUGGGCGUAAAGCGCGCGUAGGUGGUUUUGUAAGUUGGAGGUGAAAUCCCCGGGCUCAACCCGGGAACUGCCUCCAAAACUGCAUGACUAGAGUACGGUAGAGGGUAGUGGAAUUUCCUGUGUAGCGGUGAAAUGCGUAGAUAUAGGAAGGAACACCAGUGGCGAAGGCGACUACCUGGACUGAUACUGACACUGAGGUGCGAAAGCGUGGGGAGCAAACAGGAUUAGAAACCCUAGUAGUCC